Molecule: ribosomal RNA, 291 nt
Filed under: uncultured bacterium
Lineage: Bacteria
Description: partial 16S ribosomal RNA
Rfam family: Archaeal small subunit ribosomal RNA
Source: RNAcentral
GUGCCAGCCGCCGCGGUAAUACCGGCAGCUCAAGUGAUGUCCCAUAUUAUUGGGCCUAAAGCGUCCGUAGCUGGCCGACCAAGUCUCCCGGGAAAUCCACCCGCCCAACGGGUGGGCGUCCGGUAGAAACUGGCCGGCUUGGAACCGGAAGGCUCAGAGAGUACGUCCGGGGUAGGAGUGAAAUCCCGUAAUCCCGGACGGACUACCGAUGGCGAAAGCGCCUCGAGAGGACGGACCCGACAGUGAGGGACGAAAGCCAGGGUCUCGAACCGGAUUAGAAACCCGUGAGCC